AACAUGGCGGUACCCUAGUGGCUAGUAAUGACGACACAAAAACAUUCAGGAAAAUUACUUGCGAAGAUGAUGCUCGCCAAUUACAACAAACCUUGACAAACCUAGCCACCUGGAGCAAUACCAACAAUAUGAGGUUCAACGAGUUAAAAUGUAAAGUGUUGACUGUGUCGCGAAAGAAACAACCUGUGGACUUCACAUACCGACUGGGCUCAACCACUCUUACUCAUGUUGAAAAAGAGAAAGAUCUUGGGGUUACAAUGACAGGAAAGCUUUCAUGGGAUUCUCAUAUCCAUGAGAUCACAGCUAAAGCCAACAAGCUGCUCGGUCUAUUGAAGAGAACAUACCCUUUCCUGACUGACGUCAGCGUCCGACGUACUUUGUACCUUUCGUUGGUAAAAUCCAAUCUAUGUUAUGCCUGUGAAGUUUGGUCCCCAUACAUCUGCUGACAGAAGACAAAGAUAGAGCGUGUGCAGAGACGAGCCACUAGAUGGAUAUUGAAAGCUAGAAAAGGUGAUUCCAGCUGCAAUGAGCGUCUCGUUGAUCUGAACUUACUACCUUUGUGUUAUGAUAGAGAGAUAAAAGAUCUAAUGUUCUUCUACAAGGCUCUUUACGGUAUUUCCGAUCUCAAUGUCCAUGACUAUGUCUCGUUUGUAACCCAUAACCACUCCCGUCUAUGUCGUAAUCCCAACCUGUUGCUCAAGACUCCAUUGUGUAAAACCACAACAUAGCAGAACUCAUAUUUCAACCGGAUCGUGAAAUUAUGGAACAGUGUUUGUAAAGUAGCUCCACCAAAUACAUUUUCUAGUGUCAAAACAUUUAAAUACUAGCUACCUCUUUAAUUAUUAUUCUAUGUUAGUAUCGACCGUAUUCGAUGUAAACUUGUUAUGUACUUGGUCUAUGUCACGUGACUGUUCUUGUCAUAGGAGUUAAUGGGUACGAGGUUGUUAAUUGUCUUGUUGUAUAAACUUGUUAUUAGUAUUUACAUAGUAAACUAUAUUUACAUGUAUUCUGUUGGAAAGGUGCCUUGCAUGGAUAGCGCAAAUUAUUUACGUUCCGUUCGCACCUCUUCCAUUUGGGUAAUAUUUGUUCUUCGCAUGCAUAGUAUUAGUACGUAUUUUGUAAAUAAUUAUUAUAUUUACCCAAUAAAGUAUUUAAA
Molecule: non-coding RNA, 1156 nt
Organism: Paramuricea clavata
Lineage: Eukaryota; Metazoa; Cnidaria; Anthozoa; Malacalcyonacea; Plexauridae
Source: the annotation of a GenBank genome assembly